This 33-nucleotide transfer RNA is filed under the name Osteolaemus tetraspis (dwarf crocodile). RNAcentral's name for it is "partial tRNA-Thr". Lineage: Eukaryota; Metazoa; Chordata; Crocodylia; Crocodylidae. The record is from RNAcentral.
AAACUAAAUACUCUUGUAGCUUAAGCCCAAAGC